UACAGAGGGCGCGAGCGCUAAUCGGAAUUACUGGGCGUAAAGCGCACGUAGGUGGCGACGUAAGUCGGGUGUGAAAGCCCCGGGCUCAACCUGGGAAUUGCAUUCGAGACUGCAUUGCUGGAGUACGGAAGAGGAGGGCGGAAUUCCCGGUGUAGCGGUGAAAUGCGUAGAUAUCGGGAGGAACAUCAGUGGCGAAGGCGGCCCUCUGGUCCAGUACUGACACUCAAGUGCGAAAGCGUGGUGAGCAAACAGG
Molecule: ribosomal RNA, 253 nt
Filed under: uncultured bacterium
Lineage: Bacteria
Description: partial 16S ribosomal RNA
Rfam family: Bacterial small subunit ribosomal RNA
Source: RNAcentral